AGCCUUUAGCAAAAAAUAUUAAAGGUUCCGCCUGCCCAGUGACCAUUAAACGGCCGCGGUAUCCUAACCGUGCAAAGGUAGCGUAAUCACUUGUCCCCUAAAUAGGGACUGGUAUGAAUGGCUAAAUGAGGACUUAACUGUCUCUUUUAACUAAUCAAUGAAAUUGAUUUACCCGUACAAAAGCUGGUAUACACACAUAAGACGAGAAGACCCUGUGGAGCUUAAAAUAACCCAUCAUCAUAUAUGAUGUAAUAUUUUCAGUUGGGGCGACUACGGAAACAAAUAAAACUUCCAAGCCAAGGACCUUACCUCCACCACAGACAAACAUGUCAUGCAUCUGACCCAGAACUUCUGAAUAACGAACCAAGUUACCCCAGGGAUAACAGCGCUAUCUUCUUCUAGAGCCCCCAUCGACAAGAAGGUUUACGACCUCGAUGUUGGAUCAGGACACCCAAAUGGUGCAACCGCUAUUAAAGGUUCGUUUGUUCAACGAUUAAAGUCCU
This 503-nucleotide ribosomal RNA is filed under the name Elgaria multicarinata. Its description in RNAcentral is "partial large subunit ribosomal RNA". It matches the Rfam family "Bacterial large subunit ribosomal RNA", at positions 1817 to 2597 of the family's 2925-position model. Lineage: Eukaryota; Metazoa; Chordata; Lepidosauria; Squamata; Anguidae. The record is from RNAcentral.